AUACGAGGGGUGCAAGCGUUAAUCGGAAUUACUGGGCGUAAAGCGUUCGUAGGCGGUUAUUUAAGCAAGAUGUGAAAGCCCAGGGCUCAACCUUGGAACUGCAUUUUGAACUGGGUAACUAGAGUACUGUAGAGGGUGGUGGAAUUUCCAGUGUAGCGGUGAAAUGCGUAGAGAUUGGAAGGAACAUCAGUGGCGAAGGCGGCCACCUGGACAGAUACUGACGCUGAGGAACGAAAGCGUGGGGAGCGAACAGGAUUAGAUACCCUAGUAGUCC
RNAcentral lists this ribosomal RNA (274 nucleotides) under uncultured bacterium. RNAcentral's name for it is "partial 16S ribosomal RNA". It matches the Rfam family "Bacterial small subunit ribosomal RNA", at positions 523 to 796 of the family's 1533-position model. The record is from RNAcentral.